This 1388-nucleotide long non-coding RNA is filed under the name Sus scrofa (pig). RNAcentral describes it as "lncRNA (ENSSSCG00000044461.1)". Lineage: Eukaryota; Metazoa; Chordata; Mammalia; Artiodactyla; Suidae. The record is from RNAcentral.
AGACUUGGUAGAGGUGGAGAUGCCUCCAGUAGAAGUGGAAAUUCAUUUUCCUGGACAUAAUCUCACCACAUUCUAAAUCUUCAACUCAAGGUGUUCAAUGGAGAGAAUCAGGAGUAGUAAGAAAUCCAUGCAGGAGUGACUCCAGGGAGGCCAUAACUACUGAGGGGUUCUCCAUGAAUGGCAGCUUGUGAUACCUACAGCCAAAUGUGCCAAGAGGAUCCAAAUACCAAUGUCAGUCUCCCAAAGCAACAGAAAUAAAAGCAAAAAUAAACCAAUGGACCUCAUCAAACUGACAAGAUUUUACACAGCAAAGGAAAUGAUAAAAAAAACCCAAAAAACAAAAAGACAACUUACAGAAUGGGAGAAAUGGUUUCAAAUGAUGCAACGGACAAGGGUUUAAUCUCUAAAAUAUACAAACAACUUAUACAACUCAACAGCAAAAAAGCCAACAACCCAAUGGAAAAUGGGCAAAAGACCUGAAGAGACUGUUCUCCAAGGAAGAUAUACAGAUGGCCAACAAGCACAUGAAAAAAUGCUCAACAUCCCUGAUUAUUAGAGAAAUGCAAAUCAAAACUACCAUGAGGUACCACCUCACACCAGUCACAAACCAUCGUUCAUAAGUCCACAAAUAACAAGUGCUGGAGGGAGUGUGGAGAAAAGGGAACCUUCAUGGACUGUUGGUGGGAAUGUAAACUGGUCCAACCACUCUGGAGACAGUAUGGAGGUUCCUCAGAAAACUAUACAUAGAACUACCAUGUGACCCAGCAAUCCCACUCUUGGGCAUAUAUCCAGACAAAACUACUUAAAAAAGACACAUGCACCCACAUGUUCACUGCAGCUCUGUUCACAACAGCCAAGACAUGAAAACAACCUAAAUGUCCAUUGACAGAUGAAGGAUUAAGAAGAUAUGGUAUAUAUACACAAUGGAAUACUACUCAGCCAUAAAAGAGAACAAAAUAAUGCCAUUUGCAGCAACAUGGAUGGAACCAGAGACUCUCAUCCUGAGUGAAGGAAGUCAGAAAGAGAAAGACAAAUACCGUAUGACAUCACUUAUAUCUGGAAUCUAAUAUAUGGCAGAAAUGAACUUUUCCAUAGAAAAGAAACUCAUGGACUUGGAGAACAGACUUGUGGUUGCCAAGGGAGACGGGAAGGGAGUGGGAUGGACUGGGAAUUUGGGGUUAAUAGAUGCAAAUUAUUGCCUUUGCCAUGGAUAAGCAAUGAGCUUCUGCUGUAUAGCACUGGGAACCAUGUCUAGUUGCUUAUGGUAGAGCAUGAUAAUGUGAGACUAAAGAAUCUACACAUGUAUGUGUAACUGGGUCACCAUGCUGUACAGUGGAAAACUGGCAUAACACUGUAAACCAGCUAUAGUGAAAAAAAUAAAAGUCAUU